GCAGGGAAGAGGAAGAAAGAGAGGUCCUAAGAGCAGUAGGAAUGGGAACAUGAAGGAAUGAGAAUGCUCUAGUUUCUCCUCUAGCAUUAGAGGACAUUUGCAUUCUUGCAUUCCUGAUGCCUCUCAUUCCUAUGGUUCUUAGGUGCUCCUUCCUCUUCCUUCCGUUC
This is a microRNA precursor of Dichanthelium oligosanthes, 167 nucleotides long. It matches the Rfam family "MIR2118 microRNA precursor family". The record is from Rfam. NCBI's taxonomy places the organism in Eukaryota, Viridiplantae, Streptophyta, Magnoliopsida, Poales, Poaceae.